RNAcentral lists this ribosomal RNA (698 nucleotides) under Streptomyces wuyuanensis. Its description in RNAcentral is "bacterial SSU rRNA". It matches the Rfam family "Bacterial small subunit ribosomal RNA", at positions 65 to 778 of the family's 1533-position model. The record is from RNAcentral. Lineage: Bacteria; Bacillati; Actinomycetota; Actinomycetes; Kitasatosporales; Streptomycetaceae.
AACGAUGAACCCGCUUCGGUGGGGGAUUAGUGGCGAACGGGUGAGUAACACGUGGGCAAUCUGCCCUGCACUCUGGGACAAGCCCUGGAAACGGGGUCUAAUACCGGAUACGACCACUGAGGGCAUCCUUGGUGGUGGAAAGCUCCGGCGGUGCAGGAUGAGCCCGCGGCCUAUCAGCUUGUUGGUGGGGUGAUGGCCUACCAAGGCGACGACGGGUAGCCGGCCUGAGAGGGCGACCGGCCACACUGGGACUGAGACACGGCCCAGACUCCUACGGGAGGCAGCAGUGGGGAAUAUUGCACAAUGGGCGAAAGCCUGAUGCAGCGACGCCGCGUGAGGGAUGACGGCCUUCGGGUUGUAAACCUCUUUCAGCAGGGAAGAAGCGAAAGUGACGGUACCUGCAGAAGAAGCGCCGGCUAACUACGUGCCAGCAGCCGCGGUAAUACGUAGGGCGCAAGCGUUGUCCGGAAUUAUUGGGCGUAAAGAGCUCGUAGGCGGCUUGUCGCGUCGGUUGUGAAAGCCCGGGGCUUAACCCCGGGUCUGCAGUCGAUACGGGCAGGCUAGAGUUCGGUAGGGGAGAUCGGAAUUCCUGGUGUAGCGGUGAAAUGCGCAGAUAUCAGGAGGAACACCGGUGGCGAAGGCGGAUCUCUGGGCCGAUACUGACGCUGAGGAGCGAAAGCGUGGGGAGCGAACAGGAU